Molecule: non-coding RNA, 30 nt
Filed under: Mus musculus (house mouse)
Lineage: Eukaryota; Metazoa; Chordata; Mammalia; Rodentia; Muridae
Source: RNAcentral
UUGGACAAAAUAAGGCCCAAAUGGUGCAUA